Molecule: ribosomal RNA, 550 nt
Filed under: uncultured bacterium
Lineage: Bacteria
Description: bacterial SSU rRNA
Rfam family: Bacterial small subunit ribosomal RNA
Source: RNAcentral
UAGGGGAUCUUCCACAAUGGACGCAAGUCUGAUGGAGCAACGCCGCGUGAGUGAAGAAGGUCUUCGGAUCGUAAAACUCUGUUGUUAAAGAAGAACACGAGUGAGAGUAACUGUUCAUUCGAUGACGGUAUCUAACCAGCAAGUCACGGCUAACUACGUGCCAGCAGCCGCGGUAAUACGUAGGUGGCAAGCGUUGUCCGGAUUUAUUGGGCGUAAAGGGAACGCAGGCGGUCUUUUAAGUCUGAUGUGAAAGCCUUCGGCUUAACCGGAGUAGUGCAUUGGAAACUGGAAGACUUGAGUGCAGAAGAGGAGAGUGGAACUCCAUGUGUAGCGGUGAAAUGCGUAGAUAUAUGGAAGAACACCAGUGGCGAAAGCGGCUCUCUGGUCUGUAACUGACGCUGAGGUUCGAAAGCGUGGGUAGCAAACAGGAUUAGAUACCCUGGUAGUCCACGCCGUAAACGAUGAAUGCUAGGUGUUGGAGGGUUUCCACCCUUCAGUGCCGCAGCUAACGCAAUAAGCAUUCCGCCUGGGGAGUACGACCGCAAGGUUG